This 478-nucleotide long non-coding RNA is filed under the name Carica papaya (papaya). Its description in RNAcentral is "long non-coding RNA (CPAP_LNC011883)". Lineage: Eukaryota; Viridiplantae; Streptophyta; Magnoliopsida; Brassicales; Caricaceae. The record is from RNAcentral.
GCUAAAUUGGGACAAUUUGAUAAGGGUUAGGGUGGUACCUUUUUAACAUGGAGACAUGAAAGGUGUCAUGCAUACUAGUGAACUCUCAAGGCAGAGUAAAGUGGUAUGCCAUAGGGCCAACGCAUUCCAAAAUUUCCAUAAGACCAACAUAUCGAGGGCUCAGCUUCCCUUUCUUCCCAAACCUCAUCACUCUUUUGAAGGAAAAGACCUUAAUGAAUACUUGGUCACCAAUAGCGAACUCCAAAGGCCUCCUGCGGUUGUGAGGGUAACUCUUCUAGUGACUUUGGGCAGUGAGGAGGUUUUUCCGGAUAAGGUCCACUUUUUCAAUCGUCUCUUGCAUGAAGUUUGUCCUUAUAUACUGUCGGUUCCCAAUCUAAUUCCAGCAGGUAGGGGAUCGGCAUAGCCCACCAUAAAGAGCUUCAAAUAGAACCAUAUAAAUACUAGAAUCGUAACUGUUGUUGUAGGCAAACUCGCAGAG